CGGCCUUCGGGUUGUAAACUCCUUUUGUCCCGGACGAGGAAGGACGGUACGGGGGCGAAUAAGUCACGGCUAACUACGUGCCAGCAGCCGCGGUAAAACGUAGGUGGCGAGCGUUAUCCGGAUUUACUGGGCGUAAAGCGUGUGCAGGCGGGUGGCCAAGUGGUGUAUGAGAGCUCCAGGCUCAACCUGGAGAGGUUAUGCCAGACUGGUCAGCUAGAGGCAGAGAGAGGGACAUGGAAUUCCGGGUGUAGUGGUGAAAUGCGUAGAGAUCCGGAGGAACUCCAGAGGCGAAGGCGGUGUCCUGGCUCUGACCUGACGCUCAGACACGAAAGCAUGGGGAGCGAACGGGAUUAGAAACCCCGGUAGUCCAUGCCGUAAACGAUGCAGACUAGGCGUCGGCGGUCUCAACCCCGUCGGUGCCGAGCUAACGCGAUAAGUCUGCCGCCUGGGGACUACGACCGCAAGUUAAAACUCAAAGGAAUUGACGGGGCCCGCACAAGCAGCGAGAUGUGGUUUAAUUCGGGCUACAG
RNAcentral lists this ribosomal RNA (530 nucleotides) under uncultured bacterium. RNAcentral's name for it is "bacterial SSU rRNA". It matches the Rfam family "Bacterial small subunit ribosomal RNA", at positions 412 to 961 of the family's 1533-position model. The record is from RNAcentral.